This is a small nucleolar RNA of Gastrolobium bilobum, 103 nucleotides long. RefSeq annotates it as small nucleolar RNA snoR1. The transcript has a single exon. Lineage: Eukaryota; Viridiplantae; Streptophyta; Magnoliopsida; Fabales; Fabaceae. The record is from RefSeq and is a predicted model, not a curated record.
GACGAAGAUGAUGAGUGCUUCAUAUAUCUGACACCUCUUGUAUGAGAUGGAUCUUUGCUUGAAAAAGGUUCAUCUUUGAGCACAUAAAGCAACUCUCUGAGUC